Non-coding RNA from Python bivittatus (Burmese python), 457 nucleotides. NCBI's taxonomy places the organism in Eukaryota, Metazoa, Chordata, Lepidosauria, Squamata, Pythonidae. The record is from RefSeq and is a predicted model, not a curated record.
UCCUUCCUGAUAGAUGUGAUAGAUGUGCAGCACUCGCCUCCUUCCGUCCUUAUCAACUUCAUGAUUAAAAAAACCCUCCAAUACCCUUUGUGCUGGAAGCUACUUUAAUGUCCAUCCGGGAGUCGGAAAUUAUGAUGGUGCAGCCUUUUCGUCUCUAUGGUAUUUGUCGCAUCUCGGAGACGUCAUCGCGCCUGUGGAGCGGGAAAUUUUGCAAGGUGGUGUGAUGGUUGGAAGUGAAAGCAGGUGGUAUGAUCUUAGUAUGCCCAAAUAAUGGCUUAUCAGGAAUUUAUUGUUUUAUACACACAUCAGAAGACUAAAAAAUCAAAAGUAUGGCAAGAUGGAAUUUUGAAGGCCACAUUUGGAGGAAAUAAGGCAACCUUAUUUGAUGACAAAGGACAGCUCUUGGAUAGUAUUUUCAUAAAGUUUCAGGUAUGUGCUUUGUUUUUAUUUGUUUGGU